GAGAGGAAUAUUGGUCAAUGGGCGGGAGCCUGAACCAGCCAAGUCGCGUGAAGGAAGAAGGAUCUAUGGUUCGUAAACUUCUUUUGCAGGGGAAUAAAGUGAAGGACGUGUCCUGUUUUGUAUGUACCCUGAGAAUAAGGAUCGGCUAACUCCGUGCCAGCAGCCGCGGUAAUACGGAGGAUCCGAGCGUUAUCCGGAUUUAUUGGGUUUAAAGGGUGCGGAGGUGGUUUGAUAAGUCAGCGGUGAAAGUUUUCAGCUUAAAUGUAGAAAUAGCGUUGAAACUGUCGGACUUGAGUGUAAAUGAGGUAGGCGGAAUGCGUGGUGUAGCGGUGAAAUGCAUAGAUAUCACGCAGAACUCCGAUUGCGAAGGCAGCUUACUAAGCUACAACUGACACUGAAGCACGAAAGCGUGGGGAUCAAACAGGAUUAGAUACCCUAGUAGUCC
RNAcentral lists this ribosomal RNA (445 nucleotides) under uncultured bacterium. RNAcentral describes it as "partial 16S ribosomal RNA". It matches the Rfam family "Bacterial small subunit ribosomal RNA", at positions 354 to 796 of the family's 1533-position model. The record is from RNAcentral.